UACGGGGGGUGCAAGCGUUGUUCGGAAUUAUUGGGCGUAAAGCGCGUGUAGGCGGUCUGAUUAGUCUGAUGUGAAAGCCCUGGGCUCAACCCAGGAAGUGCAUUGGAUACUGUCAGACUUGAAUACGGGAGAGGGUAGUGGGAUUCCUAGUGUAGGAGUGAAAUCCGUAGAUAUUAGGAGGAACACCGGUGGCGAAGGCGGCUACCUGGACCGAUAUUGACGCUGAGACGCGAAAGCGUGGGUAGCAAACAGG
This 253-nucleotide ribosomal RNA is filed under the name uncultured bacterium. RNAcentral's name for it is "partial 16S ribosomal RNA". It matches the Rfam family "Bacterial small subunit ribosomal RNA", at positions 524 to 776 of the family's 1533-position model. The record is from RNAcentral.